GCUGCUGAGGGAAAAAAUCCCCACCAUACACUGAGGGAGGUCACUAGAGGGGGAUGUUAACCUUGGACUAAGAGGAAUGAGGACCUCUCAUUAAAUCUGCUCAUUGACACUAGGAUCUGUGCCUAGUGGCCUUUGCCAAACCCCUGGUUCCUCACUGUUGGUGAGCAAGGUGCUGGGUUCUUCACAUUCACCUGACCAUCACCAUCUGCUCCAAAAGUGGUUUCUUCUAAUUCAGCAUCCAUAUAAUCUCUGAUGGACGCUCUCUGGUGAAGGACACUACUGCAUAUGGACGUGAGGGGGUAUCACAAGUUUUCCAGCACAUCUCCAAAUUUUGUUUUCCUAACUUGGUAAAGUCACAGCAGGUUCUGUCUUAAUGUGCAGUCACACCUGAGAUGACACAGUCCUCACAAAGUUAGAUUUUCUUCCUCACCAGCAAUAAAACCUUGGCACCAGUAUAUGUUUUCAGAAAUAUAUGCAUACUAAAGUAACUAAAAUAAUAUUAAAGAGUAGUUAGUGGCACAUUCAUAUUAGCAGAAGCUUCUGCAGGACCCGCAUGUCAAUGUGCAACAGGGCAUAACCUUGUUUACUUGGUGUGACACAGAAUAUCGUGGCACCCAGCUGUGCAUUUCCUUCACAUGGUCCUAGUGACUGUUUGGAUAAAGUAGAUGUAAUAUUAUUUAAAAUCCCAACAUUGAUGAUUUUUUGCAUCUGCUGUUGAUUUUGGCAGAGAGUUGUAAACAAAUUCCUUCCCUGAAUUGCUUAUAGGCAAAUACUGCAUGCUUUAAUUAGAGUUCUUAAUCUAACUUGUCACUCUGUUUACAUCAAACAGUUUCUUCCUGGCUCUUUAUCUACUUUUCUUCAUCUCUGACGUUCUGUUUCUUCUCAUUCUCUUCACAAUCCCUUUAUCUUUUCUUCAAGGAUGUGCAACUCAAAAGUGUUUAUUUUGACAAUAUUACUUAGUGAUCUCUCCACAGAUGAAUAACGCCUUGGGUGCACAUCCAGUGAUGCUCCUACAAUAGAAGCCUUAUCAGAGGGGUGAAUUUGGCCCUUUGGCUUUUCAGCACAGUAAAUUAACACAUUAAAAGGUACAGAUAAAAAAGCUUGCCUCAAAUAUAAUCAGAAUUUUUCUCAGUAAACAUUCAGUAAGCAGAGUUUCUAAACCAUCGGUUGCAAAUCAAUGAGCAGAACUGUCCACAAGCCUGGAGGCAGACUCAGACAGAUUCCCUUUGUAGUGCUGCCUCAUUUCUGAAUGGCUGAAAGUGAUUUUUAUGAGCUGAAAUGUGUUGCUGCCCUAAAAUAGAGUUUAUUUUUUAGAAGCUAGACAUCACUGCACGUCUUUUGUAGAGUAAUAUGUGGCACAUAGAACAGGGAUGUCGUGGGCCAUUGUUACAAAUUCUGAUGCUAAGAAAUCUGUGCGAAUGGUUUUGUAAUAAUUCCUGGACAAGUCUCUCACUAUUCAAGUUGCCUUAAUAAACACUGGAGUUCCCAGCUGCCUGCCCUCGUGAGGGACUAGAACUGAAGGAGCUUUAGUGAAAAGGGCUCUGGAAUAAAAUCUGGUAGCUGCCCCAAUUAAAAAACGUUAUUGUGGAGUCAAAUGACACCCCAGAUUUGUAUCGGUCGUGGUGAACCCAUGCCAUCAAUUGGAACUUUCUGGUUUUUUGCUCCCUGUUGAUGAACAAGCAGAGACAUCAGUGAGGUCUCUAGAAGUAAUAAGCAUUAGACCUGCUUUUCUACCUAUAAAGAUCCUACCCCUACCUGAGCGCUGCUAAUUAAAAAAAAAAAGGAAAUAAAUCCAUUCUUUAGUAUGGAAAAUCACUUCCAGUUCUUGUAUCUUAGCUUUUUAUAAAUUUUAUUAGUUUACUAGUGGUUUCACAUAAGGAUGAGCAGGGACUGGAUGUCCCAGAGCAAACAAGAGUUCUUGCCCUGACGAGAUGAUGACUCUAGGCUGGUAUCAGAGUAUUUUGUCUUUGAUUAUUUUAGUAGGAUAGGACAGGGGGUUGCCUGGUGGUUUUGGCAGAGGCAGUUUCUCCUGAUGCACGGCAGGUGUCAGAGGGAAGAUUUUGGGGUUGAUCCUGUGGUGUCCUAACUAGUUCCCUCAUGCUAUCCCGUUGCUGCCCUGAGACAUCUCUUGCAAGAUUUUUCCUGGUUUAUAGAGGAGUAUUUCACUGACCAGUGAAAUAUCUUUGCUUGAAUAAUAAGGAUAGCACAUGUGAUAAAACAGCAGUCACCUUUCUCAGAACUGUGGGCUGAUGACUCUCGGAUUUCUCAAAAUGUGUCAUUUUGAUUACUAAAAGAAAGUAGUUUUUUUCAUCUGACUCUUGCACUAGAAUGAAUCUAACUGCAGAUGCAGGCUUCUCUUAUAUGGGCUACUUAAUGAUAAAGGGUAUCUGCUGUUCUACCUGUGUGACAUGUCCCUUCCAGGGUUCUGCUCUCUAAGUGUUUGAAAUGAAAUUAUCCAGAUACUUUUCAGUUCUUUCUGUUGCUUGCCAAGGAACUAAGAAAAAGAAUUGCACAACUAUCUUGAUGAUUUGGUAUUUUGCUCUGAACUCGGUAGCUCAGUAGCUGAUACUCACAAAUGCCUGUGUAUUGGAUGAAAAUGCAUUAAAAAGUUACUUUAUAUAUUGUA
This is a long non-coding RNA of Calidris pugnax (ruff), 2626 nucleotides long. RefSeq lists it as uncharacterized. Lineage: Eukaryota; Metazoa; Chordata; Aves; Charadriiformes; Scolopacidae. The record is from RefSeq and is a predicted model, not a curated record. The transcript has 2 exons.